Non-coding RNA from Phrynosoma platyrhinos (Desert horned lizard), 71 nucleotides. NCBI's taxonomy places the organism in Eukaryota, Metazoa, Chordata, Lepidosauria, Squamata, Phrynosomatidae. The record is from the annotation of a GenBank genome assembly.
GUCAGAGUGAUGUAGUGGUUUGAGCACUGGACUAUGAUUCCAGAGAACAGAGUUCAAAUUCUGCUCAGCUA